GCUUUCGUGGUGUAAUGGUCAGCACACUGAGCUGGUAAUUCAGAGGUCCGUGGUUCGAUCCCCGGCGAAGGCA
Non-coding RNA from Stegodyphus mimosarum, 73 nucleotides. The record is from Rfam. NCBI's taxonomy places the organism in Eukaryota, Metazoa, Arthropoda, Arachnida, Araneae, Eresidae.